AGCAAGGAAAAAACUGGUAAUCAUGCCUUGUGUCUUGGAUUUUGUUUUGUUUUGUUUUUCUCCGAGGUGGGGUAAGAAUUCUGGGGGCAGAUGACUCCUUGAAGAGCUAGCAAAGAGUCCACCUCUGGUGCUGGAGGGCUGCCACAAACUCAGCCUCACAGCUGAACUAAACCUAAUCUGUCCCUCCUUGGCUAUUCUGAGACAUGGGUGGAGCGCCUCCUGGAGGCGACAUCCGGCAAGACUUUGGGAAAAGGCUUGGGGCCUUCCAAGGUGUAAGAGGGAGGUGCGCUUGCUCCUUGCCCCAGGCUGUCCUCCUGUAGGUGGAGUCUGCUAGGGAGUGCCUUGCCUGGAAGGGCAAAGGGCUCAGUCUGCUACCCUUAACCAACUGACAAGAGUCUCAGUCACCAGGCCUUGACUCUAAGAGCAUAGAAAGAACCUAGAAUCCCAAGUGGCAGGAGCGCUGGGGGACACCCGGGCAGAGCCUUCCUUGGAGCAAGUACUGCAGGAGAGGGAUGAAGCCAUUGCUAAGAAGCGAGCGGUGGAAGAGGAGCUGGACUCCUGUCGAGCCAGGUUGCGCACAGUGGAGGCUCAGCUGCUGGAGGUCCUGCAGGAGAAACUGAGGCUGAAACAGGAGGUGGAGGCCUGGGAGGUAGGGUGGGGCCUCUGACUUGGGAGUCUUGGAAGACACCCCUCUGUCCCUAGGGACUGCCUCGGACCUGGUCUCUCUCCUGUGCCCAGGAAGACAUGCAGCAUAUGGUUCGAGAGCGGGUGCGGAGUCAGCUGCAGGGAGAGUCCAGAGGCAUGCUGGGAGCACAGGAGAACACACGCGAGGGCAGGAGUUCCUGGAUCCAACUCUCCCGGGGUCAGUGGGGGCGACGGUGGUGAAAAUGGAUCCAGGUCUUUAAGAGAACUGUCUUUAUUCAUUAAAGUGUUGGGCCACCUCUGUACCCCUGGA
Molecule: long non-coding RNA, 955 nt
Organism: Mastomys coucha (southern multimammate mouse)
Lineage: Eukaryota; Metazoa; Chordata; Mammalia; Rodentia; Muridae
Exons: 3
Source: RefSeq, a predicted model, not a curated record